CUCCUGUGUCUGCCCUGGACCUGUUUGCCCUCACCCUUUCCCACGCCUGCUAUGUACUGGGGCUGGGACCUCAUCCCUGCAGGCUGUGCUUCCCCGGGUCAGUUACUUUUGGUUAUGUGGCCAAAGGCAGGCACAGGUGAGGGACUGGAAAACAAGAGGAAGGAAGAUAAUCAAGAGGAUCAAAUAUGUUAAAACAUGUCAUAUCUACUGUCGUUGCUCUAACGGGAGCCAAAAAGCAAUAUAGAACUAUGUGGAAGAUGGGGCUAUGAUUGAAACUGAUGAUGAGGAGUGGGAAGGCUGGACUGCUAAGUGGGAUUGUAGUUGUUGCCUCUUGUGUCUGUGUCACACUCAUUUAGCCCAUCUCUGAUUUCAUUCAUACCUGUGAUAGACUGUCUGACUCACCUUCUGCUGCUGGUGCUCUACCUCAAUACUCAUACCUCUUGUCUUUCUUCAUUCUGUGCUAGGGCCUUCUCCUAAUGCCAGGAAGCUUUCCAGGCUGGCCCAGCUCAGAAGUGCCGAGGAACUCAUACCCUAUGGGCAACCCUCAACCAAUGCACAAUGUUGGCCAAUGAACAAAUGCUCCAUCCUCCUCUCCACUGGGUAGACACUUGUGGGAAAUAUUCUGCAUACUUCUCAGAGGUCCUGGUGGAACUGAGCUCUUGUUGCUGACAAUAGUGACCUCACAGUGUGUCUGUUGAUGGACUUUUCCUCUUUCUCUGUUUUACUCUCCCUAUCUCCUUGCUCCUACUUCCUGGGAUCGCCUGCACUAAGUCCUUGUCUCGGGCUCUGCUUUGCGGGACACCAAAACACUCAUCACCACAGUCCGGGAAAUGUUUGAGGUGAACACAGAAUAGAAUUAAUUGUAGAACUUCUAAGCCGGCUUCUCUCCUGCUUGGGGAGAUGUCUUGAAGAAAACUACAGUGCAUAGAUGAACAGAAAAUGCUGUGCUAUUUAAGAGCUGUAACACUGAGACCAGGCAGUUUUACUGUGGGCAUCUUAAACAAGCGCAGCGCUGUGAGAAGAGGCAAACAUUCUUGAACUACAAGAAAGCACUGUGGAAUCGAUUGGCAGAGAACUGUAUCAGUGGCAGCUGACAUGGUUUGGGGGACAGGACCACCAGAACAUCUCUUCAAGAUCACCAUGACUUCAGCGGAGUGCCCCAAAACACCAGCUGGGCAGUUACUGCCAAUGGAGUGUUGACACCAGGGAAGUGAAUCUAGCCACAGGGGACAUCCUGGAAUUCCCUUCUCCCAGGAGGUACCCACAGAUAAACAAUGAGCUGAACUAAUUCCUGGGCAAAUAGAAGCAAGCCUAGAAUAUUUGAAGGAAUAAUUUUUGAAGAAUAUUUGAGAGAGAAGAAGAUGACUUUGUGCUAAUUUUGUACCUAGGGCAUCAGCCCUGUAAUUUAAGUUUUAGAAGAAACACAAACCUGUUUUAUCAUCACAGUUGGGUAAAGUCUGGAAUGUAUUUUACAACCACGUUAUUGACAAUUAUUCGGCUCAACAUUUCCGAAAAUUCAGUCAGUUGUCUAUCACCUACACUACAAUGUAUCAUUUGUACUAUUACUUACCUAAUACUUUCCUUUCAACCAGCCCACUUUUUAAAACUUAAAUACUUACUUUAUAUUAAAUACAAAUAAAUAUGAAAUUAUGGAUUUAGUAUCUACCUAUAUUUUCCUA
RNAcentral lists this long non-coding RNA (1679 nucleotides) under Homo sapiens (human). Its description in RNAcentral is "HSALNT0354021". Lineage: Eukaryota; Metazoa; Chordata; Mammalia; Primates; Hominidae. The record is from RNAcentral.